AAGUCGUAACAAGGUUUCCGUAGGUGAACCUGCGGAAGGAUCAUUACCGAAUUGUCAACACGAGUUGUUGCUGGUCCUCGAACGGGGACACGUGCACGCUCUGUUUGCACAUCCACUCACACCUGUGCACCCUCUGUAGUUCUGCAGCCUGGGGGCUCUGUCCCCCUGCCGUGGUUCUAUGUAUUUACACACACACACGCUGUAACAAAGUCUCAUGGAAUGUAUACCGCGCUUAACGCAAUACAAUACAACUUUCAGCAACGGAUCUCUUGGCUCUC
RNAcentral lists this unclassified non-coding RNA (278 nucleotides) under Tomentella bryophila. RNAcentral's name for it is "partial internal transcribed spacer region". The stretch from base 1 to 46 matches the Rfam family "Eukaryotic small subunit ribosomal RNA", at positions 1786 to 1831 of the family's 1831-position model. Lineage: Eukaryota; Fungi; Basidiomycota; Agaricomycetes; Thelephorales; Thelephoraceae. The record is from RNAcentral.